AGAGAGGGACUGAGGACAGGGGAGGCAGGAGCGGCAACAGCGGCGUCGGCAUCGGGAUCGGGAUUGGGAAUAGCAGUGUCGGGAAUAGCAAUGUCGGGAAUAGCAGUGUGAAUGGUGCCUGCAGGUGGAGGUAUGGUCGCACUGACACUCCGAAGGUUUCAGCUUCAUCCCCCUGCCCCAUUCACAUCUCAUCAAGGAUUUUGUCGAGGGGAUGCCACACAGACAUAGGUCAGGGCUUUGAGAGGCUUGGCUGAAGAUUUUUGAUAGGCAUGAAAGGCAUUUAGGUCUUGGACACAGAGCAGAAUAGGUUUGUAAUGGUUUAUUUUAAUACUGGAGUUGAAUAUACAGUCGCUGAUUAAAGGAGGAGUGAGAGCCAUAGACCUCUGCACACGUCAGUGAGCUGGGCUGGAACAUCUGUCCGAGGGUCAGCAGGGUGUUCUUGGAGUGAGUGCCUGCUACCACGCUUGGGAAGUCUGAAUUGUGGUUUUCAAGGUACUCACAGACUUUAGACACUGUUCUUUGUCUGUCUCGUUAGCCACGUUAGUACAUUAGCACCUAAAAUAAGUGUCCCUAGUAUAUCAAUUAUUUAAACACUAGCAGGGUUUACAUACUUUUAAUUGACUUUUUUAUAAGGUAAAAACAGGUUUGGGAACUUUGUAGAAAUGUUGAUAAGAAUUCUGUUACUCCUUUCUGCUAAGCUGAAUGAGUUGUCAGCAAGGAGACACAGGGCUUUUUUCUUAAAAUGUGUCAGUCCCAUCAGUGCUGAAGUGUCUUAAAUAUGUCUUUGUUUUUGGCAGCAUAACGUGUUCCUACAAUAAUAUUGAUUUAUUUACUAAAAAAAUAAAAAAGGUUGUGUGA
Long non-coding RNA from Zonotrichia leucophrys gambelii, 858 nucleotides. RefSeq lists it as uncharacterized. The record is from RefSeq and is a predicted model, not a curated record. NCBI's taxonomy places the organism in Eukaryota, Metazoa, Chordata, Aves, Passeriformes, Passerellidae. The transcript has 2 exons.